AUUGAACGCUGGCGGCAUGCCUAACACAUGCAAGUCGAACGGCAGCACGGGAGCUUGCUCCUGGUGGCGAGUGGCGGACGGGUGAGUAAUGCAUAGGAAUCUGCCCAGUAGCGGGGGGACAACUUGGGGAAACUUAAGCUAAUACCGCAUACGCCUACGGGGAAAGCGGGGGACCGUUCGGGCCUCGCACUAUUGGAUGAGCCUAUGUCAGAUUAGCUUGUUGGUGGGGUAAAGGCCGUACCAAGGCGACGAUCUGUAGCUGGUCUGAGAGGACGAUCAGCCACACUGGGACUGAGACACGGCCCAGACUCCUACGGGAGGCAGCAGUGGGGGAAUAUUGCACAAUGGGCGAAAGCCUGAUGCAGCAAUGCCGCGUGUGUGAAGAAGGCCUGCGGGUUGUAAAGCACUUUCAGUAGGGAGGAAACAGUAGCCGCGGUAAAGUGACUACUG
Molecule: ribosomal RNA, 450 nt
Filed under: uncultured bacterium
Lineage: Bacteria
Description: bacterial SSU rRNA
Rfam family: Bacterial small subunit ribosomal RNA
Source: RNAcentral